RNAcentral lists this ribosomal RNA (253 nucleotides) under uncultured bacterium. RNAcentral describes it as "partial 16S ribosomal RNA". It matches the Rfam family "Bacterial small subunit ribosomal RNA", at positions 524 to 776 of the family's 1533-position model. The record is from RNAcentral.
UACGGAGGGUGCAAGCGUUAAUCGGAAUUACUGGGCGUAAAGCGUGCGUAGGCGGCGUGUUAAAUCAGAUGUGAAAGCCCCGGGCUUAACCUGGGAACUGCAUUUGAAACUGGCGCGCUAGAGUUGAGUAGAGGUAAGUGGAAUUUCAGGUGUAGCGGUGAAAUGCGUAGAUAUCUGAAGGAACACCAGUGGCGAAGGCGACUUACUGGACUCAAACUGACGCUGAGGUACGAAAGCGUGGGUAGCAAACAGG